Molecule: ribosomal RNA, 407 nt
Filed under: uncultured bacterium
Lineage: Bacteria
Description: partial 16S ribosomal RNA
Rfam family: Bacterial small subunit ribosomal RNA
Source: RNAcentral
UGGGGAAUAUUGCACAAUGGGCGAAAGCCUGAUGCAGCGACGCCGCGUGAGGGAUGAAGGCCUUCGGGUUGUAAACCUCUUUCAGCAGGGAAGAAGCGCAAGUGACGGUACCUGCAGAAGAAGCGCCGGCUAACUACGUGCCAGCAGCCGCGGUAAUACGUAGGGCGCAAGCGUUGUCCGGAAUUAUUGGGCGUAAAGAGCUCGUAGGCGGUUUGUCGCGUCUGGUGUGAAAACUCGAAGCUCAUCCUCGAGCUUGCAUCGGGUACGGGCAGACUAGAGUGCGGUAGGGGAGACUGGAAUUCCUGGUGUAGCGGUGGAAUGCGCAGAUAUCAGGAGGAACACCGAUGGCGAAGGCAGGUCUCUGGGCCGCAACUGACGCUGAGGAGCGAAAGCAUGGGGAGCGAACA